CGCGUAGAAGUAAAGAGAUAGAGCUGCAAUGUCGCUCCCAAGACUCAGCUUGACAUGCGUUUCAUUCUGGUGCCUUGAUCUUUUGACGGGGUAGUGGAACUGCUUGUGUGUGUUUUGUGCACUUCUUGGGAGUGAGCACUGCGACCGGUAUUUGUGCUGGUAGAAGCUUGGAUUUUCGUGGGCAGACCCAUUCGGUAUCUGAUUCCCAUUUUCCAUAGCCAACCUGGUUGCGGAGACCGUGUAAUUUUGUGUCGGCUUGUCUCGGACUGUGUGGCAAUGCGUCAUCUGAAAUUCUGCAGUCUGCUUGCAGGCUGUGGUAACUCUUGGCGUAUAUGCCGUGCUUUUCCGAAUCGGCGCAAAGUGUCUGCAGUGUCUGUGUCAGCCACCUAUCUCACCCGUCUUGAAACACGGACCAAGGAGUCUAACAUGUGCGCAAGUCAUUGGGUGGCAAACCCAUAGGCGCAAUGAAAGUGAAACUAGCAGGAUCCCCAUAUGGGGCGCACUGCUGUCCUGUCUUUUAUGCAUUGUCAUUUUGGCAGAGAAAGAGCGUACCUGUUAGGACCCGAAAGAUGGUGAACUAUGCCUGAGCAGGAUGAAGCCAGAGGAAACUCUGGUGGAGGUCCGUAGCGAUUCUGACGUGCAAAUCGA
This 648-nucleotide ribosomal RNA is filed under the name Oxystomina sp. BCA22. RNAcentral's name for it is "eukaryotic LSU rRNA". It matches the Rfam family "Eukaryotic large subunit ribosomal RNA", at positions 406 to 901 of the family's 3401-position model. Lineage: Eukaryota; Metazoa; Nematoda; Enoplea; Enoplida; Oxystominidae. The record is from RNAcentral.